This 273-nucleotide unclassified non-coding RNA is filed under the name Basidiomycota sp. RNAcentral describes it as "partial contains small subunit ribosomal RNA, internal transcribed spacer 1, and 5.8S ribosomal RNA". The stretch from base 1 to 47 matches the Rfam family "Eukaryotic small subunit ribosomal RNA", at positions 1785 to 1831 of the family's 1831-position model. The record is from RNAcentral. Lineage: Eukaryota; Fungi; Basidiomycota.
AAAGUCGUAACAAGGUUUCCGUAGGUGAACCUGCGGAAGGAUCAUUAAUGAAACUUCAAAGUCGGCUCGUCUGUCUGUGCUGGUGGAGACACAUGUGCACGUCGGCGAGUCGCAAAUCCACACACACCUGUGCAUCUAUGACUCUGAAUACCGCUUUGCAUGGCCCUCAAGGGCCUGGUACUCGAGUACUUUACACACUCUGAAUGUAAUGGAAUGUCUUUUUGUACAAUGUACAACUAAAAACAACUUUCAACAACGGAUCUCUUGGCUCUC